Molecule: ribosomal RNA, 354 nt
Filed under: uncultured bacterium
Lineage: Bacteria
Description: bacterial SSU rRNA
Rfam family: Bacterial small subunit ribosomal RNA
Source: RNAcentral
AGAGUUUGAUCCUGGCUCAGGAUGAACGCUAGCUACAGGCUUAACACAUGCAAGUCGAGGGGCAGCAUGGUCUUAGCUUGCUAAGGCCGAUGGCGACCGGCGCACGGGUGAGUAACACGUAUCCAACCUGCCGUCUACUCUUGGACAGCCUUCUGAAAGGAAGAUUAAUACAAGAUGGCAUCAUGAGUCCGCAUGUUCACAUGAUUAAAGGUAUUCCGGUAGACGAUGGGGAUGCGUUCCAUUAGAUAGUAGGCGGGGUAACGGCCCACCUAGUCUUCGAUGGAUAGGGGUUCCGAGAGGAAGGUCCCCCACAUUGGAACUGAGACNCGGUCCAAACUCCUACGGGAGGCAGCA